This 367-nucleotide ribosomal RNA is filed under the name Escherichia coli. RNAcentral's name for it is "bacterial SSU rRNA". It matches the Rfam family "Bacterial small subunit ribosomal RNA", at positions 604 to 970 of the family's 1533-position model. The record is from RNAcentral. Lineage: Bacteria; Pseudomonadati; Pseudomonadota; Gammaproteobacteria; Enterobacterales; Enterobacteriaceae.
CGGGCUCAACCUGGGAACUGCAUCUGAUACUGGCAAGCUUGAGUCUCGUAGAGGGGGGUAGAAUUCCAGGUGUAGCGGUGAAAUGCGUAGAGAUCUGGAGGAAUACCGGUGGCGAAGGCGGCCCCCUGGACGAAGACUGACGCUCAGGUGCGAAAGCGUGGGGAGCAAACAGGAUUAGAUACCCUGGUAGUCCACGCCGUAAACGAUGUCGACUUGGAGGUUGUGCCCUUGAGGCGUGGCUUCCGGAGCUAACGCGUUAAGUCGACCGCCUGGGGAGUACGGCCGCAAGGUUAAAACUCAAAUGAAUUGACGGGGGCCCGCACAAGCGGUGGAGCAUGUGGUUUAAUUCGAUGCAACGCGAAGAACC